UUCGUAAAUCUGGAAAACACAAUUCCCAGGUGAUGACCAUGACCCUAGAAAAAGUUUAGAGAAAACAACCUCAUUACGAGACAUACCUUGCAAUAGAUGUUUGUUUAACUGGAAAUCCACAGGAGCAGCUGCCCAGUGCAACAGUACAUAUUUGCUUCUGAAUCCUUUCUCAAAGGCACUAUUUAAACAUGUUGAUGAACUGAACUGAAUUUCUCCCCACCUCCAUUUCAGCAAAACAAGGAGACUCAGAAGAUAAAAUUUGUUUUGAUAUUGCAAGUAGUGCUAUGUGCUGAUAUCUUUUACAAGGCUGUGUCUACCAUGAUUUGAAAAUGAAAUUCAAAGUAUUGACAAGGUGAUGAAUCGUCUCCUUCUCUGAACUUUACAUACUCAGAGUGAUGCUUAUUCUACCUCACUGUUACAGGCCACAGGUGAGCAGACUACUUCUGCAAAGCUGUGGUAGAGACUUCAUUUUAAUAACCGCAGCAAUUUGAAUAUGCACUUGUUUCUGCCUGAGGGAUAAACAUCUGCACGUGGUAGAAAAUGGAUCUGUGACACUGAACUCCUGCAAAGCUCUGCUUUCCCACCUGCCAAAAUAAAAUAACCAAACAGGACAUUUCACCUUCAGUCAGAGCCCAAACAGAAAUUUUUAGAAAGAGGAGAUUUUUUGAGGUUACUGAUAUGUGGUAACACAGCAGAAGCAGAUAAGACAUAGUUACGGUGUUCUGAGAUAACAUGUUCCAGCAGGUACAUCACCUCUUCGCUUGGAAAAUUGGCCUGUGUUUUUCUCUCGGAAUCUCUUAUCACCAUUUUUUAUUUCCUUCUUCAGUCCUUCCUUUCAGACAUUCUGUGUUUUUCUGUGUGAAAAGAAACUGUUUGCUACAGUAUGAAUGAGAGGGUAGGAUGACUUAGUGGACAAAGGAAGAGAGGGAUGGGUAUAUACCAAAAGGAAAAUCAUGUGAUAAGAAAAUUUUGGAGCAGAUUGUAGAAGGCAGGCAGGCUGUAACUAAAUUUAGGCUGAUGCUGGGAUGAGGCAAAAAUAAAGUAUUUAAUGUAUGCCUGUGGCAAUUAUUAAUAUUAAUAUGAAUUUGUAAUGGCUGUUAGAGACAUAAAACUAGGUGAAUAAAAAUUGAUCAUAGAAUUUAUACAAACCAUCAUGGUGAUUUAAAUCCUCAUGAUCAGUGUUUACUUAUGUCUUAGGGUAGAAUAAUGAACCUUUAAUUGCAGGCAAGCAAUUUUAUGUCAGAAUAAAUCAGAACUUGGGUGCAGUGAUUCCAUUUAUCCAACAAUGCAGUUGAUUUUGGCACUCAUUCAGCAUUCUUUAUAUUAAGUUUUAAUGCAAAGCAUCUGAAGCACACUUAAUAAAGUCAUUAGAUACAACCCAUACAUGAUGAAAUGUUCCCCAUCCUCUCCCCUUUUUCUCCUUUCGACCCACACAAGGCUUAUUUUUACAAUACAGAUCCACUUUUUGAUCUCUAAACUAAAAGAUACAAUGAGCCAAACAAAACAAAACACAUAUGCAACAAACGCGGUUGGCUUCUGAGGCUGAAAGGGUGAAAUGCAGAAUGAAUUCUUCUUCCAGGAAUGUUUUGUUAAGCAUUCAGAAACAUUGUUUUCUGAAGGAACUAUAGAGAUUAAAUGGUCUGGAACAAUAUCAUAUGAAAAGAUAGAUGACUGUGUUUUAAAAGCAGGAGAUCUUAAUCUUAGUCUAGAAUGGAGAAAGAGAAUUAUCUUUUAAAAUUUAUUUAUUCUAGUUUCAGCAUAUAUUAAACAUGAUGUGACCUGUCCUGAACUUGAGACUCAUUUAAGAAGUAAUAUAAAAUGUUAUUAAAGACCAGACAUGCUAAUAGGAUAGCAACAAAACCUCAUGUCAAUGCUGACUCCUGGAUGUCUCAGGCAGCUCCCGCCAGAACUCAGAGCCAGCAAACUAGAAGACUGGGUUAAACACCUAAAGCAGUCUGAGCUGGGGGUCUGAGAAGGUGGCAUUUCUUUUUAUUUUAGUCAUUUAAAGGCAGGUUUUGUGGCCUUUACCAUGCAGCUGGAAGAGCAGUAGUGUGCUUAUGGGAAAUGUCCUGGCCAGGGAGCGAGUAAGCUGCUGUUGGGGAGAACCAUGGUGUGUAGAGGUGGUGGUGGGAGCUGCUGAUGGCCGUUGCUUUGGAGCUGGCCACCACACCUCAGUUAUGUGUUCUGGGCAAGCUAGUGUUAAUGGGCAGGUCCUAUGUGAUAGCUAUCUCUAAUGAAGAGGCAGGAGCACUUUUGUCCACAUGAGUUGGAGUCACUGGGGUGGCAGCAAUGUCUUCAUCCUGUUGAAGACUGUGAGUUGCAGAGAGCAUGGCUGGAGAUGCCACCAACAUUAGCUGGCUUCCAUGCCUUUGGCAUAAUUUCAGUUUGCUGUGCUGCAAAGCAGCCAUCCUAGCAGCUACAUCAGGAGCAGCUCAGCUCUGCAGUAUCAGGCACAGAGAUGACUGGUAGCAGAAAGCUGAACAUCUUCCUCAGUCAUAUGUCCCUGUGCAUGAGACAGAGCCCUGCCAGAAACUGCUUCAUGCUCUUGAAAAAAGGAAGACAUUUAAGCAUUCCCUGGGAGGGGCAGCUUUUGAUCAGCAUGCUGGUUAAAAAAAAACACAUCCUUUGAGGGUUUACAGUGCAGCUGUUAAAAUCUCUACCAGAAUUACCGAUGCUUGAGCUAGAAGGUGGAAAACCAUAAGACAAAGACAAGGUUAUUGAUGUUAAAAUCAAGACAAGGUAACUAUAACAACCUUCAAGAAAUUAGCAGUCUAAAGGAAAUGAAGUUCUAUCUUUUUGUAAGAAUAUUGAAAGUAAAUCAGAGGAAAUUAGGCAACAGUAUCUAAAAAGACAUUCUCAUUUUCUGGUGGAUGAUAUUUUAUAAUGGCAAAAACCAGAACAACCUAGCCCCCAGCACCCUAAAAUGAUGAUGAAUUUGCACAUAAAUUGCAAAUGUUUUGGCAAGAAUGAGUAUCAAGGUCAUGACUAAGGUGUUUCUGCUUUUAUAAGAUAUGUUUUUGAUUCUUUGUUUUUGUGUUUUAAAUUAGACUUGUGAAAUGCGUACAAAAUCAGAAAAAAUUCCUGAAGUAAAAUAAAAAAUGUAACAUUUCUGUUUCAGUUUAAACAAGUGUUCACUGUAUCACCGGGAUAUUUAUCACUGGGAGGAACUGGAGAAGAUAAUAAGUCAGAAUGAACUGUAUGAAUUUCUGAGCAUUAUCAGAGCAUUAUGCUACUUCAUAUAAUAUAUAUGACAUUAUAUAUAUAUGGUAUUUUAAAAUUUUAGCAAUAUCAACAUAAUUUAUUUUUUAACUGUUAAUAGUUAGCUUUAAUUAUAACAGUAUCUUACCAAGUGUAAGCAAAAAUAAAGUUUGAGUGCCUUAUUUUUGGGGUAAAUUCAGUACUGAACUCUCUAAUUUAAAAGCAUUUCUUUACGUAUUGAAAUGGAAUCUCAGCAGGACUUUAUGAUUAAAAUUGAAAUCAUUUGCCAUGCCUUAUAUAUAAUUGGGCUAAUUAACUGAUGGACACACAUAAGUCAAAUUUUCCAUGUAAGCACCUGAUGUACCGUAUUUUAUCUGGUGACUUUCUAAUUAAUACUGAAAAAUACAUUACCAUCCCCUCCCCCAGCAUCCCUUAACAGAAGUCUAAGGCUGUGAGGUUAAACACUUGAAGGAUAGAGAAAUGCAAGGCUCAAGGCUGUCAGUGCACUCUCAGGUCAUAUUCUGUUUACAAAUGUUCAUGACCUUCAAUGAUGUGAUCUUUCCCUGUUCACUGUUGCUGUGCCCACAAAUACAGGGGCGUUCAGGUGGUAAGAAACUUCUGCGAAGUCCUAGUCAAAUUUUGUCACACAAAUUUGGAACAUUUGACUGCCAAACAUUAGGAAGUAUUUCUUCAGUAUAUGUGAACUAUAUACAUAUAUAUAUAUAUAUAUAUAUAUAUAUUUAUUUUUUUUUUUCAGAGGGUUUUAUUUGGUCAACUCUGUAAAGUAGUAGCUCUGUCUUAAGACAGAGCACUGUCCAAGCUCUUUUUUUUUUUAGUCCAGUUCCUCCUUAAUAUCAUUCGCUCAAUAACAUCUGAACCAUGAAAAUUACAUGUAGGCAUGUAAAGUAUUGGUCUGAGGUUGUUAUCCACAGAAUCACAGAAUCACAGAAUUUCUAGGUUGGAAGAGACCUCAAGAUCAUCGAGUCCAACCUCUGACCUAACACUAACAGUCCCCACUAAACCAUAUCCCUAAGCUCUACAUCUAAACGUCUUUUAAAGACCUCCAGGGAUGGUGACUCCACCACUUCCCUGGGCAGCCUGUUCCAGUGUCUAACAACCCUUUCAGUAAAGAAGUUAUUCCUAAUCAUUGAAAUUAAAGGAACCUUCAGGAUUCUGGAGUAGAAAAAGCCCAUUCAGUCAAGGAGUCUGAAAAAAACUAAACAUUCAAUGCAGUUCAGAUUCUAGUGUGCAGCUCAAACGUAUCUCUUGAUUUGGAAGAUCAUGUAAACACAUACAUCAUUUUCUUGAAUCAGAAAAGUUACGGUACAAAUAAGACAACAAAACUGCCACAUAUUUAAAAAACAAAACAAAACAAAAAAACAUUAAGAAUAUAUCUGGUAUGUAAAAGAAAUUCGAACCUGACAUCAAAGGAACAAAAGAUACUUAAAGAAGUUCAGAUUUCUCACAGAAUCAUAGAAUAUCCUAAGUUGGAAGGGACCUAUAAGGAUCACAAAGUCCAACUCCUGGCACCACACAGGUCUAUCCAAAAAUUCAGAUGAUAUGACUAUUUGUUUGCAAUAUACUUGGUAAAAUUAGUUUACGUUUUUAAAUUUUCUAUAACUUGCUAUUUUGUUGUUUAAAAAUUAUUUUACCACCACUGUUUUUAAGAACUUAUUUUGUCAGUGAUUAUUUGAAAAAUUUGAUUUUAUUGAUGUCUGGAUUAGCAGAGAAAAAUAUAAAUCACAUUCACUUCAAAGAGAUUUCAGCUAGAUUUAAGCCACUUAAUAGUAGAAGAGUUGAAUCUUAUAAAGUGCUUCCAUAUAAAAAAUAAAUAAUUAAUUAGAGACAAAACUAUUUCUUUACUACUUAUCAAAUGUGUUCAAAAUUUUCUGCGUGGAUAUUGCAAUGAAUAAAACUUCAGUCACCUGAUUUUGUUGAAAACAAAACAAAACAAAACAGAAAUGAAUGAGAAAAUGAAAGCUACCACCUUCACAGAAGAUAAGUCAGCAGAGACAACAUUUCAAGACACAAUACAGUAAUUUAAAGUGUCAAAGAAUUACUAAUAAAGAGUCCUUAUGACAAUCAAGACUGAGACCUGGUAAUCGAUUUCCUGUGGGGGCUAUGGCUGUUACAACUUUUGCUGAACAUUGGUGUAAGUUAUAAAGUAUCUUACUUCAAAUUAUACAAAAGAAGAAUUUACUGCUUUCAGUACCUCUACACAGAUCCAUACAUUUGGAUUAAAAGUGCCAGUUGACAAACAAUUUCUGCUGAGGAAAUGAUAAGAAAUUUUUGAAAAUCUACCCCCAUAUUCAUUUACAUGUACUUGGAUGACCAUUAGUUUUCUUUUCUUUUAUCUUUUGGACUCAUGUGCCUUGAUGCAAAGAGAAUAGGCAUUGGGAUGGCCACACGAAGAGGAAGAAUAAGCUUUAGCAAAUGCAGAUAAGUAUCAUUAUUGAAGAGUUAUGCAUGUUGGUUGCAUUUUAAAUACUUCAAAUUACUUAACAUCUUGUCUAGAUCCUUCUAUAUAACUAGUUAUUAUUCAAGAGCUAAAGAUAAUUUUAAUUGUCAGUUAAAAGCCAACUUCCAUCUUAAUUUUUAUUCAAUUUAAGGUUAAUCAAAAUUUCUUGACAUGUUAAGGAGCCAAACAGAGCAUUAUUUUUGCUUCUUAGAAGAAUUGAGAACCUAAGUAAGUAAAAAAGAAGUGUAAUUGCCAGGCAAAUCUGUUUAUUCAAAUUCUAUUCUCAUGGACCUUCUCUCUCGCUCUGUUUAUACAUAAGUGAAAGUAUUCAUUGUUAUGUCAGUUUCCAUCUACUUACUCAGUUGCGCAGCUCCUUAGAGUAAUGAAAAAGAAAGCAAAAUAAGAUUUUAAAGCCUCAUGUCCAAUCUGUUUUUAAAUUAUGUCAUCUCAUUCAAGUUUUCUAUUUAUAUUUUUUAAAAAAGUGAUUUGCUCUUUGGUGAAGCUGUCUUUGAUUAUGCUCCUUAAUUCUUAAGCUAGUUAAAUACACUAAGUUUUGUAGUUUAAAUAAAUUCUUAAAGUUCCAAAAUUUGCAAUGGUCCUAUUUUUAGAAAAUCUGUAUAACCUGAUAGAGAAAAUAGUAAUUCAGUAAGUAUGUUUAGCCCUCCAGCCUGAGGAGCUUAUAAAGCUUCCUUUGUUCAUAUAAUGGAUACAUUUUCCAGAUUUCUAUUAAUGUAAGUUGUGAAGCCCAUGACUUCUUCACAGUCAGAGAAAUAAGUAUAAGUGGAUGGUAUGAUGGCCUUCUGCAGGCAGAAGUUCCCUUGCCCUGCUCAUGGUCUGAGUCAAGUGAGAACUUUUAAUGGCUCUAGCUAAUAGCUAUUAGGCCUGUGCAGUUUGCAUCAAAUGCACCCACAUUUGGCUCAAAACAUGCAAAGAGCAAACAGGUCUGUCUCUAGAAGACCUUGUAAAUAUUGCUGAUGAUAUUAUCUUGAAUCUAUCUCCAUGUAAAGCAAUUAAUUGAACAAAUAGUACAGUACUGUGUUGCCACAUAAAGAUUCAUUGGUCUCUUUCUAUAGUUCCUGGGGGAGAGACAUUCAUGCCUGGAUUGUUCUGAAAGAUGACUCUGAAAGAUGAUUGCCUUGAAGUCUCCUUAGGAAUGUUUAAAGCAAAAUACAGUUUUUGUUUAAAGCAAAAACAAUUUUUGGAAAACCUCAGUCACCCAUAAGUUUGGAAAAGAAGUCAAGUGUAGAGGCCCUCUGCGGUCUUUAGGCACCAUGGGCUGAAUGUUGAUGGCCACUCUUACUCUAGAUCUCACACUUGUUUCCCUGGGUGGAGCCAUAUCUCUGGUAAGGCUCACAGGCUUCCCAGGAAGCAAACUGGUUAAAUGGUUCACAUUCUCAGGGAUGUGCUGUAGCUCUUCUCUGCAAAGAGCAGAGGGGGAGGUUUGGGAUCACUGAGUCCACAACAGUGGUGGGGGUGACCAAAAGGCAGAGCAAGGGCACAUAGGAGAUCUUCCCUACUCUGGGACUUGCCAGUGGAAGCCAUGGAAGCCUCCUUUCCCAUGACUUGUUUCUGUAUUUUAGCUGCUAUUAGUUUAAUGCAGAAUGCAGAAGUGGUGCUGGGAGUUAGAGCGUUCCUGUCAUGCUAAGUGCUGACUUACACAGUCAUGUGUCCUUUUUGCCCUCAUCUGCUUUGGUAAAUCACAGGUUUAGAGGGAGGCAUCAGCUCCUCACAUGUCUCUAACGCUUGGCUAAGUUUCACCUUGCCCCUACAUCAAACAGUCCUGUAUCACCAAGAUACUGAAGCGUGCAUUUAUGUUAUGCACACUUUUAACAGGAUAAUUUAACAUCAUUUUGCAAAUAAACACUAGACCAAGAAAUGCACUUUAGUCUUCGAAGAUCAGACAGAAAAUUAAUUUUGGAUGAGUUUGGUUUCCCUGAUCUGGGAAGAAACUUAGUAUGGACUUCUGCACCCACUAAAAAACAAUCUCAUCCAGUUAUAAUUCUGGAGCUGGAAAACAAAAAAAAAAAAAACACAAACAUAGUGAACUGAGAUGAUUUUACUAGACUAUCCUGGGAAAACCAUAUUAAGAAAUUAUAUUAAUAAAUAUUAAGAUAUCUAAAUUCAGUGUAGUAUGAAUACUGUAGAAGCCCAUUGUACCUAUUGGAGUUUUAUAACGAAAGGGUUCUACUACCUUCCAGAAUCAGAUAAUAUUCAAUACUUGAUAUUCUUCCUCCAAAAUGUUGUUAUUCUGUUCCAAUGGUGAUGUAAAAUGUAUUAGUUUGAACAGCUCAGAGGAACCAAACAAUAGGAACCAAGGAACCACACCAAGGAACAGUUACAGCAGUUUUGCGGUUGUGGUAACUUGCUGAAGAGCUUUUCUCUGUGUAUGCAGGAAGGCAGCAUCUCUGGGGCUCUGACUCACACGGAGGGGAUGUUGUGUCUCUCUGUAAGUUCCCCACCACUCCAACUGGGGAUCCUACUCUCACUUUUAAUUCCCACAAGAUACAUCUUUUAAAGACCAAGGCAUUGUAAUUCUUCUGUAACACCAGUGAUGUUUUCAGGGAGAUGUUCCCUUCUUUCUAUUGACAUGCUCGCAUCUCAUUGUUAAAAAAAAUACUAAAAGCAUUGGUUUGGUAAAAGUAUUAGAAAAUAAUCUAUUGCUUUAUAUAUAGGAAAUAUCAUAUGUAGCUAGUAUAGUCACUACCAGGAGAUUUGGACCCUGACGAUAAGUAUUAAAUUUAAGAAACAGGGUUGCUAAGUGGAGGUUUGGUUUCUCCCUUUUUGGGUUCAACUACAGUAUGAAACUUUCACAAAAUAGGAGAAUCUCAAGUGUGUGAAGAUGGCCUCACCAGGAUCAUCUCCCUUGCCCAAAUGUGGGGGAAGAGAGGGAAGCUCUUCAGAGGAAGAGAAAUUCCCAGGAACAGCAGUCAAGUGCUACUGGUGAAUGUACUGAAGAUGGUGGAUGGCAGUCGGAGGUGUCACAGAAUAAUGGAUAGGGAGCUGUUUAUUUUACAUCAGAAAUAGCCUUCAUUUAGCACAGACACAGCUUUGCAUCUGACCAAAACACAUAUGUGUUGGAUGCAGAAAUAGAUUUUUUCUCAGUGUUUUGUCAAACAUGGGUUUUGGUACAUAUUUAUCAAACUUUAUUGUUGAAAAUCUUUGGAAUUUUGUACAACUCUGGCAACUGUUUCCAUACAUCCAAGUUAUCAUUUUAAAAGGUAAAACCAAAAACCAUUCCCAGUAUUUCUUUACUGCUGGCAUUUAUAUUGUGACCAUGCUGAAGAGGUGAUGCACAUGCUACAUACAGGAACCAGUGGUGCCUGGCUAAACUAGCUUGGCAUAGAGACGUGUGAUCUGGCAAAGAACAGACGUUUCCUUUGCUAAUGAAUCUGUGUGAGCAGUUCGGCUUAGACAGAAACAAACUGUAAAAUGCCAGCUCAGCAGGAGCACUUCCUCGAAUACAUCAAAGCUGUUCCUUUCUACAUGGCACAGAUGAGCUCUUUCCAAGAAUUUCCAGGCCAGUAUUCUUGCUUUUCAAAGUGUUUUUAAAUGGCUACAAAUCCCUCCCCUCCUGAAUGCCCCAAAACAAACAUGUAAAAAUUAGAAGCAUAAAAAUAUUAAAAUCAUCAGUCAAGCAAAGUGUGAACACAGCUGGAAGCAGUGUCCCCUUGAGAUUUUGCUUAUAUCCUCACUAUAUUUAAAAAUACAUGUAGCUCUUAUUCUUGGGAAAGCAGAUAUACUAAACUGUGUUUUCUCUAUCUGGUUACUUACUAUAUAUAUAUAUUAUAUAUAUAUCAUAAUGUUGAAUUCCCCCUAGAUCUAAGCACUAAGGCACUAGAUACAUUAUUGACGUGGGAUAGAUCUCAGCUGCAGCAGUAACUGGGUUGUAGUUUUGCUUACUUCAGCAGGAUGUGAUAUAAGAAUCUGAAGCAAUAUCAGAAGAAACACAAUAGCUGAGUUAUAAAGUCUUACGGCUUUUCUGAGGCCCACUUCUUGUUUGCAUGGCUGUGAGGUGUAAGGGAGCAGGAAAACAGCAAGUCAAGUUGUUAGUAAUUAUACAAAAGUAGCUGGGUUGUUGCCUCUGCCCCCCAUGCCCUAAGGCAGGGAAAAGGCAGCGUGUUAAGAGCUGUGAGCUCUCUCAUAGGUCUUCACCAAUUGUUUCACAGUUUUUGGACAAAUGCUGGCAACUGGCUGCCCUGUCAUGAUAAAGAUGGGGAUAGUGAGUUGUGAUGGGGACAUUGGGCUCAUAGGGAAGGACUCAAUAGCUUCCAGGCCGCUGGUGUCUUGCUGCAUGCAUUGGAACAGGAGAAAUGGAAGAAAGGAGAGACAAGUGAGGUUUCUGGCCAAGGCUGGACUUUCGUCUAAAGCCCUGAGCAGUGUUGGGUCUGUGUAUUCACUUCAUCAGAAAGGUGUAGUGAUUCAGAUGCUGGCAUGCCAUGGAUUACUGAUCUGCUGUGGAGAAAAGUGAAUUAUUUAGUUAUUAUUUUUUUAAUGAGAAACAAAAGUAUGCUUUUGUAAGAAGUAAGAAGGAGAAUUUGGACAUGUUAACAACUGGACUAAGGUAGGUCCACUUGAUAAGCCAAACUGUAAUAACCCAUGUACCAUGAUUUUCAGGUGCUGAUGUAUAGCAGUAUAGGGGUAGUGGUCCCACCAGAGCUGGGUGCCAUGAGUGUGUGUGUGUGUGUGUAUGUGUGUGUGUGGCAUAGUCAAGCUCCCUGCACAGAGCUGUGGGAGAAAAGAAAAAGAACAUCAGCAUGUUUCAAGAGUGGUCAAGCACCUAAGCCUGCAGCUAUUCCUGAUUGCCUCUGAGAUCUGCUGACAGAGCACCACUGGUGUGAAAGAAGAAUCCUCUAGGAUGCAGACAGCUCCUGGGAUUAAAACUGCUCCUGCUAUUUGUGUGUGAGCAAAGCAAACAGCUGGAAAAAUGUGGAGGGCUUGUCCUAGCAUCACAACUGGAUCUCCCUAGACCAUCAUAGCUGAAUCUGCUGUGCUAGUAAGGCCCAAAAGAUGGUCUGGAAGAUGGCCUGCACAAAGAUGGCCUGCAUAAAGAUGUUCUAGAAGAUGUGGAGUGAAACAGGAUGGAGAGGAAAUGAGGGACCGGGAGGAAGAGAGGACUGUGAGAUAAUGGAGAACAUUAAGUCUAUCAAAACAAAACAAAACAAAACAAAAGUAAUAUCAUAAGAUAUCCAUCAAUAGGGCAGAAAAUGUGCCCUACUGUCAUCAAAAAAAGACUACGAUGUUCUUUUCUGAUCACAUGCAUGGAGACUUGCAUGGAGAUCACUGAUGCUCAGAAUUAGAAGUGUCUGCAAAUUUUUUGGGAAAAUGAUUCCUUAAAAAAACAUGUUCUUUUCCCACUGAAAUUUUCUCACUGAAGAUCCGAAGAUAAAAAUUACCCAAAGAUUUUCUCCAGGAUACUUCUACUUCUACUUCUACUUGCUACACUAGUAGAGUGUAGUUUUGCUGAGUCAGUUCAAUAAACCUUUUUUUUUUUUUUUUUUUUUUUUGUUUCUGAACUGAAUCAAUGUUAAUUUUUAAUACUUUAUAGCUCAUUUCCCCAAAAAAAUAAUUCUGGAAUUUGUCAUGAAACAGAUUGUGUAGUUUCCAUUCAUGGGAUACUUUCAUUGAAGAUGUUGAAGAUAUUGUUUAAUAGAAAAAUGAAAUGAAAGGUAUCUUUAGAUAUUUACGGAUAACAUAACUAAACAAAUAAAAAUUUAAAAAUUUAGAGGAAAUAUAA
This is a non-coding RNA of Anas platyrhynchos (mallard), 11390 nucleotides long. The record is from RefSeq and is a predicted model, not a curated record. Lineage: Eukaryota; Metazoa; Chordata; Aves; Anseriformes; Anatidae.